This 2668-nucleotide long non-coding RNA is filed under the name Hermetia illucens (black soldier fly). Its description in RNAcentral is "uncharacterized LOC119647971". The record is from RNAcentral. Lineage: Eukaryota; Metazoa; Arthropoda; Insecta; Diptera; Stratiomyidae.
CCCCGUGUUUUUAAGUCACAAUGCGAAGGCGAUCAAAAACUGACAUAAUGCUCGUGGUUCGAUGCAAAUCUCAAACGGUACGCCCUCCGUCCACACCGCGAGGUUUCCGAGUGAUGGUGAAUGGGCCUAUAGGGCCCAUUCCUUCACGUAAACCUUGCAACGUACUAACUUUUACGUAACAUGACGUUUCCGUUUAGUGAGGUGAAUUCAAUAGCCAAUCACAACAUGUGUAUGUGGUUGUAUGCAUGGAGUUGUUUAUUGUAUGGUGGGAAAUAGGAAAGAAACUUUUUGAGAGAACUUAUUAAAGGUGCUCUACGACAAAUUGCACUUUGGUUUUAAAAAUCCAGCAAUUGAAAGUGUUUCGUGGAUUCGAAUGCCGUUACAAUGAAUAAUACGUCGGGCUGUGUUUUUCUUGAAUUUCUGAAUUCGUUUGGUUUUUUGGAAUCUUAAAACUAAUUAACGAUUACACAAAUUUAUCUUCAUAUAUAUCCUGUUUCAAGUUCGUUAUACAAAUCUAUUGGGAUAAUAUUCAUCAUAAUAACGUUUACCCUCCGGUUUGUUGUAUAAACUUGUGGCAUCGAGUCAUAUUCCCAGAAGUUGAAUUCGGCAUAAUUGUGAAAUUAACGGAAGAAAGCUUUUAACAAUACCGUGAGGAGCUUCAUAUCCGACAAAGCUUAAUAUGAAAUAUACAAAUUUAUUUUAUCCGGAUCGUAUAAACAGUGUUAGUUGAUAUCGGUCGACUUGCCUCAAAAAAUUCAUCGCGAUCCUGAAGAAGUACUUCAAAGAAUAUAAUGAAAGUAAAAAUGGUUCUACUGAAACAAGUGUUUAUCACUCUUCAACUGUUGAAGUUUCGACGUCAUUUGCAAUCGUCUCAGAUAAUUUCAAUUUUAAUAUUUGCAGUAAUAGCAAUGUAAAAGAUAAUGGUAAUAUUUGAUGUUGCACAUGUGAAAAGUGUUGUCACGUUCACAGCUUUAAUUUUGCAUUCACAGGUAGUAGUAAUAUAAAAGCACUCUACUCAUUUAUGUUAUUAAUGUGGUAAGAAAUAAUAUUAAUAAUUAUAAUUGCCCGAAAUUGACCCGCGAUUUAUUGUAUAAUAUAAUGCACUGGUUGCGCUUGAAAUAUUCGAUUUUGUGCUGAAUGUUGAACAAGUCGGAAACGGGAAGCUCGGUGCGUCAGUAGUGGAUAUCCGUUGACAUCUCCUAAGGGGUACCAAUUUGACCCAAAAGAAGCAACUUUAACACCCAGCAGUAAUAGCCACAUUUUAUGUAAAAGAUUACCAUUAUCUUGAUGUUGCAGACGCGAAAACACAGAUUUAAUUUGAUAUUCACAGUUAGCAGCCAUAUUGUUGCGAGAAGAUUGGCGGACAUAACUAACUUCACUAAUUUGAUAAGUGCUCGACAGCGAUGGGCAAGAAGUGGUUGAAUAAGAUCAACGCUAGUUUCUUAUCUGUUUGACAUUAGUGGAUUAACAAAAUUCAUGAUACCACUUCUAACUUGGAAAAACAAAUAACUAUAAAAAGACUCUUCUCAUUAUUUAUUUUCUAGGCAAGUUACGGAUUUCAUAUAAUACUGCCACUAAGUGCCAAGCAUUUAGGCUCUGACCAUCCCACCUACUUCAAAGAUAAAGGAGCGCUGGUGGUGGUGGCCGGUGGUAGGUGAAUGGAAGAAUCCGUCGAGAACUCCCCGCAAUCUCGAGCAUGAAUGUGGAAUGGUAUAUUUUUGCAUAGUUCCAGGACAUUAGAGGAAGCCAUGAGGGAUUUUGAUACAAUACAUGCAUUAUGGCAUCUACAACCAACCGCUCGAGACGCCAAAUUUCUUUGAUUUCCAAACAAGUGCCUCAUAUUUCACCGUAUUCUCCACGUAUUUCCGUUCAAUGUUGCUGUUUUGGGGUAUAGCAAUAUCAAUAAUGUGCGUAGAACGACCCGCCUCUGAACUAACAGGACAUCGGGUUUGUUUUAACAAUACAUUCUGUAAACAGGACGAUUAGGUAGUGCCUGGGGCUCAUAUCAGUAAACCGGACAUGUUCCCGUGAUCAUUCCAUGUUUGUAUGCAAAGCUUUGGUUAAUCACUUUACAUGCAGCAUUGUGUAUUGCACCGCCGCCAUUAUAUUGCAACCAGAAAUAAGAUGGUCCAAAGUCUCCAGUGCCGAACCAUAUAUUCUGCAUUGGUCGUUCGCCACCCGUUUUUCAUAAACUCGGGUGGCGACCACGCCGACCCGAAUGGCACACAUAAAUCCCUUCGUCUCAGCAAAGAGCUCUCCAGCACACAGCCAUCUGUUCGACAAAUAUAAAUUGAUAAAUGGUUGCCAAAGACCAUUGACGUGUUUACCAUGCGUUGCCAUCGAAAUCAUUCAUCGAUCCGUUUUUGGUCUGAGUUCACCCCACUUAGGGAAUGGAAAGAUCGCUCCUUCAAGUAAGUCGGACAAACAAAUGAAAAAUAUCAUUGUAACAAAAAAUUUAAAUGAUAAAGACCAAAAUAUUAUAUUACCACGACAUAAUUUGAUUAAAUACGCAAAUUCUCAAAUAAAUAUAAAUAACCUUACUUUUAAGAACCAAAUAUACUACAUUGAAAAUAACGUCAUACUACCCAAUGUAAUUAGGAAUAUAAGCUGUGGGGAAUAUAGUAAUUUGACUUUGUAAUAUGUUGAUCAUAAACAUUUGGAAAACCUA